RNAcentral lists this long non-coding RNA (802 nucleotides) under Olea europaea subsp. europaea. Lineage: Eukaryota; Viridiplantae; Streptophyta; Magnoliopsida; Lamiales; Oleaceae. The record is from RNAcentral.
CUAUAGUUUUGACCUAUUUGAGAAUAGACCGCACUUCUCUCAAUCUUGUUCCAGUUUUAGCCAUCAAAGUUACGUGCAAUUCAUUUAUGAUGUGAUAUGCAUGUGAACUUGAUAAUUUCACCACUUUUUAUCAGCAUAAUUUUUUUUAAUGUCGUUUAUUUUCUGAUUUCUUAGGUAUAUAUGAUUCAACAAACUACCUUCUCAUUCAGUUCUUAUAAUUUGUUACAUUUUGUGAUUUUUGCACACACUAAUUUGGUUUUAGCUUUUUAGAAUUCCUUUCUUUAUGCAACACUUCAUUUUCCUUUUUCUGUGAUUCUUUCUCUUCACUAAUCAAAUUUUCUUUACUCUAAACGAUUUUAUCAAAUACCUCCUAUUGCUUUUACCAUUCCCAAACUCUUGCUGUUUGGGUUUUUAAUCUAUGAUAGUCUGAAGUUCUUCCAGAACGGAUAUUACGUAUUUUCUCAUAUUUUACACCAGUUCCUUAUGAUGUCUUAUAGCUAAUAGUCUUAACCUUAGGAGUCGUCCACCAAGCUAAUUCAGAGAUAAAGCCAACGAUGGUUGCUCGAUAUUCUUCCUGGGUUCAGUGGAUCUAGAAAAAUAUUAGCAGCAGAGAGUAGGAUAGCCUUUCUGUUUAUUUUUCUUCCUCUCUUGCUACUAUGUAUAAGAUAUUUACUUAUAACAUGAAAAGUAGCCCUAUGACAUGCAUAAAGGUAAACACAUUAUGGGUGUUUCGUUUAUUGUUAUUUGCAAAUAGCUUACUAGAAAGUGAGAACGAGAAAUAUUAUCAAAUGGCAAAAUUAAC